This 488-nucleotide ribosomal RNA is filed under the name Metrionella erratica. Its description in RNAcentral is "partial 12S small subunit ribosomal RNA". The record is from RNAcentral. Lineage: Eukaryota; Metazoa; Arthropoda; Insecta; Coleoptera; Chrysomelidae.
ACUAAUGACACGAUUAAUUUUUUUUGGUUGUGAUAAAAUUUAGAAAUUUAAUUAUUAUUUAAUUUUUAGGUGAAAUUAAAAAUUUAAUAACUUAAUUAGAAUAAUUGAUUUCAGUAAAUUAAUUAAUAAACUAGGAUUAGAUACCCUAUUAUUAUUAACUUAAAAUUAAUUCUUUAUGAAUAAUAGAUACGUACUUUAAAGUAAAAAGAGUUGGCGGUAUUUUAAUCCUUUUAGAGGAACCUGUUUUUUAAUUGAUAAUCCACGUUUUAAUUUACUUAUUAAACAGGUUUAUAUAUCGUUGUUUUUAAAAUAUAUUUUUAGGUUAUGUUUGUCAAUUUGUAAAAAAUCAGUUCAGAUCAAGGUGUAGCUAUUAAUAAGGUAAAAUGGGUUACAGUAAUAAUAAUUAUGGAUAAAAACUUAAAAUUUAAUUGAAAAUGGAUUUAAAAGUAAACUUGAAAAUAUAUUCAAUUUGAUUAUGGCUCUAAAAU